RNAcentral lists this ribosomal RNA (497 nucleotides) under uncultured bacterium. Its description in RNAcentral is "partial 16S ribosomal RNA". It matches the Rfam family "Bacterial small subunit ribosomal RNA", at positions 29 to 507 of the family's 1533-position model. The record is from RNAcentral.
ACGAACGCUGGCGGCGUGCCUAAUACAUGCAAGUCGCACGAGAGCGACCGGUGCUUGCACUGGUCAAUCUAGUGGCGAACGGGUGAGUAACCCGUGGGUAACCUGCCCAUCAGAGGGGGAUAACAUCCGGAAACGGAUGCUAAAACCGCAUAGGUCUUCGAACCGCAUGGUUUGAAGAGGAAAAGAGGCGCAAGCUUCUGCUGAUGGAUGGACCCGCGGUGCAUUAGCUAGUUGGUGAGGUAACGGCUCACCAAGGCCGUGAUGCAUAGCCGACCUGAGAGGGUGAUCGGCCACAUUGGAACUGAGACACGGCCCAGACUCCUACGGGAGGCAGCAGUAGGGAAUCUUCCGCAAUGGGCGCAAGUCUGACGGAGCAACGCCGCGUGAGUGAAGAAGGUUUUCGGAUCGUAAAACUCUGUUGUUAGAGAAGAACAAGUGCUAGAGUAACUGUUAGCGCCUUGACGGUAUCUAACCAGAAAGCCACGGCUAACUACGUG